This 481-nucleotide ribosomal RNA is filed under the name uncultured bacterium. Its description in RNAcentral is "partial 16S ribosomal RNA". It matches the Rfam family "Bacterial small subunit ribosomal RNA", at positions 28 to 507 of the family's 1533-position model. The record is from RNAcentral.
GACGAACGUUGGCGGCGUGCUUAAUACAUGCAAGUCAACUGAAGCAGUGGUAGCAAUAUCGCUGUGGAGGUGGCGCACGGGUGAGUAACACGUAGGUAAUCUGCCUUCAGGUCUGGCAUAACUCCGGGAAACCGGGGCUAAUAGCAGAUGAUGCAGCGGCUCGACAUCGAGACAGUUGUUAAAGCUAUGGCGCCUGAAGAUGAGCCUGCGUCUGAUUAGCUAGUUGGCGGGGUAACGGCCCACCAAGGCAACGAUCAGUAGCUGGUCUGAGAGGAUGAUCAGGAACACUGGAACUGAGAAAAGGCCCAGACUCCUACGGGGGGCAGAAGUAAGGAAAAUUGGUGAAUGGGUGAAAUCCUGAAGCCGCAACGCCGCGUGAGGGACGAAGGGCUUUUGGUUGUAAACCUCUGUAGUGAGAGAAAAAAAUCCCAAUCUUUGGGACAUGAUGGUACCUCAAAAGUAAGCCCCGGCUAACUACGUG